AUGUAAGUUGAAAUACAUUUACUCCCUAGCGUCCAGCAUCCCUGCUACGCUACAAAUGCAAAGCAUUAUGACAUAGAAAGCAACCUGGUUAGGAAUAUAAAGGCUGUCUUGCAAAGGGAGAACAUUGCAAAUACGUUAGGUAGCUGCUUUCAAAGCCCUUCCUAAGAAAGAACAAGUGUGCACUCAGAUGAUCAAGUAUUUUCCCAUUAAAACCUUAUAAUUUAGAAACUUUCAAGGAUGUUAUUUUAUACAGGCUGGGGGAUUAAUACUGGUGGAACAUACACAUUAAAUACUGCAGUCUUUACUUCAAAUGUUUUCCACCUGAUUUGAUUUACAAGAAUUCCAGUGUUUUAUUAAUCUUACUAUCAAGAGGACUGAAAAGCCAACAGAAAGUAGUUUCAGAAAUGAGGAAAUGGUAAAACACCAGUUCUCCGGAGUGUUUUAAAUGGCAAAAGAGAACAUCAUAUGCAUCAGAAGAAAUACAACAUGACAAGAAGCAAACUUUUAAAUAUAAAAAGUUCUUGAGAAGAGCUUAAAAUAUGGAGAGAUGCAAACUUAGCCUUAAAACUUGGGAUGUAUUUUAAAAAUGAGGACCUGUUUUGCAAGUAUCCUGAAUAAUUUUAAUUUUGGAAAAUAGUGAAAUGAAUCUCAUCGUGGCAAGUGAUUUAGCAGAAAGAAGGCAAUCUCCUAAAUCAUCUUUGGUUUGUCUCCACUUUUUUCUUUGCUUUGCUUAAGGUUUUUCUUCUUCUAACAGAACCAUGAUAUGUCAUUUCAUCAAGACAAAUUUUGCCAGGUUCUCUUUUCUUUACUUCAAUCCUAGCAUUCAAAGUGUAGCAAAUUUUGCUAGUGAGAUCAUCUGGUGAUUUCUUCCUUCACUAAAUCAUGAAAACCUAUAGUUUGUCUUCUUAAUAGGAUAUAGUUUCUGGAAAUUUUAAUCAGCUUUUAAUCAUUUUUUUUAAAUGUCCACAGAAAAAAAUGUAUGGAUUGGGAUUACAGUUCCUUGUAUACUCUUGCACAUGUGGCAGAAAAUUUCAAGUGGUCAGCAGAAUGAAAGCUCAGAUGAAAUUUGUUGAAGUUACAGAAGUCGCUAAUGUACACGGACUUGGCAAGCAUGGCUGCUUAAUGGAUUCACUAAAUAUUCCUUAUGCAUCUACUGACUCUGCUGUAUGACCUUGGGUAUCACACUUGUAUCAAGACUGUUCUGAAUGUCUUCUGCAGUAUCUGUAUAGUUCUAUGCUUUAUACAAUCUCUGCUACCGUCUCAAUCUUCAAGGUAAGUGUUAGGCCAAUGUAUGUUUCAAUUGGACCAGCAAGCAUUGUUGGAAAAGUCAGAUAAAGUUGUGGAUUUCAGGAAUACUCUCUGAGCAAAUCUGAUGAUAUUUAAAACAACUUUACAUAGUACAGCUUUUUUGACAUGUCUUUCAUGGUUGCUGGUUAUACAGGAAUAGACAAGUUAGUCUGCUGUUUUUUCUAUACACAAUUGUUUGAUGGUUUUGCGGUUGACCAUAGAACCUGGGAAAAUGAUAAUAAGAUUGGAGUAGACCAGAGAGAGUCUAAAGAGAGUUAUUGAAUUUGUGGUGAAAGAUGCUAGGAUUGAGCCCACUCUUCCAGUACAGAUGUCAUACAUAUAGAACAGUGCUUGAUAAAACAAACACCUCAAAUAUUACUCUUUCAGGGAAAAAAAAAAAAUCAAUGUGCUGAAGAACACUUGUAACACCCACCUCAGCAAUGUGAAGAGGAACUCUUCCCAGUAAGAACACACUUCUGCAGAAACAGAUCACUGAAUUCUUUUUUCUUAAUGUAACG
Anser brachyrhynchus (Pink-footed goose) is the source of this 1805-nucleotide long non-coding RNA. The record is from Ensembl. Lineage: Eukaryota; Metazoa; Chordata; Aves; Anseriformes; Anatidae.